This 254-nucleotide ribosomal RNA is filed under the name uncultured bacterium. Its description in RNAcentral is "partial 16S ribosomal RNA". It matches the Rfam family "Bacterial small subunit ribosomal RNA", at positions 524 to 776 of the family's 1533-position model. The record is from RNAcentral.
UACGUAGGGUGCAAGCGUUUGUCCGGAAUUAUUGGGCGUAAAGAGCUCGUAGGCGGUCUGUCGCGUCGAAUGUGAAAACCCGGGGCUCAACCCCGGGCCUGCAUUCGAUACGGGCAGACUAGAGUUCGGUAGGGGAGACUGGAAUUCCUGGUGUAGCGGUGAAAUGCGCAGAUAUCAGGAAGAACACCCGUGGCGAAGGCGGCUCUCUGGAACGCAACUGACGCUGAGACGCGAAAGCGUGGGGAGCAAACAGG